UUUGGAGGAACACCAGUGGCGAAGGCGACUUUCUGGUCUGUAACUGACGCUGAGGCGCGAAAGCGUGGGGAGCAAACAGGAUUAGAUACCCUGGUAGUCCACGCUGUAAACGAUGAGUGCUAAGUGUUAGAGGGUUUCCGCCCUUUAGUGCUGAAGUUAACGCAUUAAGCACUCCGCCUGGGGAGUACGGUCGCAAGACUGAAACUCAAAGGAAUUGACGGGGGCCCGCACAAGUGGUGGAGCAUGUGGUUUAAUUCGAAGCAACGCGAAGAACCUUACCAGGUCUUGACAUCCUCUGACAACCCUAGAGAUAGGGCUUUCCCUUCGGGGACAGAGUGACAGGUGGUGCAUGGUUGUCGUCAGCUCGUGUCGUGAGAUGUUGGGUUAAGUCCCGCAACGAGCGCAACCCUUGAUCUUAGUUGCCAGCAUUUAGUUGGGCACUCUAAGGUGACUGCCGGUGACAAACCGGAGGAAGGUGGGGGAUGACGUCAAAUCAUCAUGCCCCUUAUGACCUGGGCUACACACGUGCUACAAUGGAUAGUACAAAGGGUUGCAAGACCGCGAGGUGGAGCUAAUCCCAUAAAACUAUUCUCAGUUCGGAUUGUAGGCUGCAACUCGCCUACAUGAAGCCGGAAUCACUAGUAAUCGC
This 649-nucleotide ribosomal RNA is filed under the name Bacillus sp. T052-13a. Its description in RNAcentral is "bacterial SSU rRNA". It matches the Rfam family "Bacterial small subunit ribosomal RNA", at positions 697 to 1345 of the family's 1533-position model. The record is from RNAcentral. Lineage: Bacteria; Bacillati; Bacillota; Bacilli; Caryophanales; Bacillaceae.